CAUAAUUGUAAUUAAAAAAAAUAUUAUUUAGAUAUUUUACAUAUUAUUUUCUUGUAUUAUUUUCUUGUAUCAUUUUUUAUUCACUUUAUGUUUAUAGUUAAACUUUAAAAACAUCUUGUUUUGUUAGUAAUUAGCCCUUUAUCAUGUUUAUUAUUAACCCCUACCCGAACAAGGGGAAUAUUCUUGUUUUUGCUCUGUCCCCUUUCUUAUUUCUGGUCCACCACCCAUCUGACCUCCAAAAUUUCCUCGCAUGCUCUUUUAACUUAAAAUCUGCCAAGGAGAAUAUCAAACUUAUCAUUUAACCAUACAAGGUUACCAGAUUAAUAGGGAC
Molecule: long non-coding RNA, 331 nt
Filed under: Mytilus galloprovincialis (Mediterranean mussel)
Lineage: Eukaryota; Metazoa; Mollusca; Bivalvia; Mytilida; Mytilidae
Source: RNAcentral